This is a long non-coding RNA of Passer domesticus (house sparrow), 1263 nucleotides long. RefSeq lists it as uncharacterized. The transcript has 2 exons. The record is from RefSeq and is a predicted model, not a curated record. Lineage: Eukaryota; Metazoa; Chordata; Aves; Passeriformes; Passeridae.
GCGUGGGUGCUGGUGGAGUCCUCUUUCAGAGCUUUGCAGCUUUGGAAUUUGCUCUUCACUUGAGCUUUCCAAUACAGCAGCUCAGAUGGCUGCUGGUUUGAUUGCAUCAUUUAUGUUUCCUAUGCAUUUUAAAAGCAUGUAUAAAUUGUUCAAAUCUGUGUAGACAGGGAAUUAUUUAGAGAGAUGGAGAUUGUGGUAGGCCCUUUUGCAGUUAGAAAUACCAAGGCUCUUAAAUUAAUGUCUUUCUAAAAUAAAUUUCUAAAAUUAUCUUUUAGUACGUUUCUAUGCCAGUGUAUGAAGAACAACAAAUAGAAACUGACACAUGCAAAUCUCUAGUAAUUACUCUCUUCUACUGAAAUAAGUUAGAGGUUGACUGCUGCGAUAUUGGCUGGCUUGUGGCUUGAGGUUUCAGCUAGAGAUGCCCAAAAUCCCUUCUCCUGGCAUGAUAUUCCUGCUUUCUUGAAGACUGGUUUGGAGUUUUGAUUUUCUUUUUUUUUUUUUAAACAAUCUAGGUGCAAAAUCAGAUUUGUACAUAAUGCUUAACAUUGUUUCUUAUUUAACAAGGAAGAAAUUAAUUUCAGUAAGCAGUAUGUGCUUUACUCAAAUACAUAAUUACAGUCAGUUAAAAUUUACUGGUUGGAGUCCAUUUUCACAAAACCUUUCUGAGCAACAUUUACAUUCUUAAUCCUUCUGUCUGUAUUAACUGAAUUGUACCAUUGGCAUCAUAAAGAAAAAUUGUGUUCUAAGCAUCAGACUAUAGAUUAAUUGGUUUUAUCUAUAUGCCCUUUUUGAACAUUUCCCUAACAUUAAUACUUGCAGUUUUCUGAAGUUUCCCUGAUUUUCACAUUUUUAUUAAUACUACAUUUAGUGGACCACAGCCAAGUUAUCUCAACUUCUUUAAAUUCCAUCUCUGUCCAGUCACUUUCUUAAUUAACAGCAGAUAAUUUUCAUGUUAUUAAUAGUUUCAGCACUUUUUUGUAGGCUCAACGUUUAGUUCCAGGACUCUGGGGGAAAAAAGAGCAACUGGCCCCUGCCUUGGCUGGCUAUGGACCAUGUUUCAUAGCUUCAAGUUCACAUUACUCCUAUCAGUUUCUCUUUUCCUCUGUUUUGUUACAUAAUACUGAUUAGAUUUGUUACUGCCGUUGCUUAAUUUCUAACUGUAUUUUUAUAUAAGUGGUGAAUCUGGAAAAGCUCUUAGCAGUAGCUCUCUCUAGAUUGUGACAUUUGGGGUUUUUAUCUGCUUAUUAAAUCCUUUUUAAGAUA